Molecule: long non-coding RNA, 979 nt
Organism: Columba livia (rock pigeon)
Lineage: Eukaryota; Metazoa; Chordata; Aves; Columbiformes; Columbidae
Exons: 3
Source: RefSeq, a predicted model, not a curated record
CGUGGGCACCGGUUUCUACGGGGAGCAGAGUAUUUGCACAGCUUUCAGUGAUGACGCUGCUCCACGUUUGCUCCAGUUUGCUCCAUGGGGAGGGCAGCAGAACCAGCACAUGGAUGGGGCAGAGUCCCCAGCUGGUUAUUGAGGUGUGUUUUGCAGAACAGAGACCUAGAGCCAGACGGUGUCCUCACUGGUGGAGCUGUCUGUCACUCACCUUCUGCUGCAAAUGGGGAGAAGGAAAUGUCCCCAAGGCUGGAGUGGGAAGGGGUAUGUGAGUAAGGUGGUUGACCAAGGACACACGAAGGUUUGUAAAGAUCUGAGACACUUUUAAUGAGUAUACCAUGAAAACAAAGAACCUUCUGACACCUGCAGAAAGGAAGGAGAAGGAGGAAAAAGCUGAGAGAACCUUGAUGUGCCUCAUCGGUUUUUAAGAGCUGCCCAACAGUGGAACCGUUCUACAGCAUGCCUCCUAAGGUCUGCAGCGGGGAAGAAAUCAUAUUCAGCUGGAUUUUGAGCAUGAGCAGAGUGUGAUUUUUGCUCUGAAAAACAUAUUUGUGGUAAUCUGACUGGUAAUCCUGUGUCUCUGUUCCUAACACUGUGUGCAUCACACGACAAGACACAGAUGCUUCCCAAGGAAGCUGUUUAGGAAUCUCAGCUCCACAUUUCCCAAAUUUCCAAUGCUGAGUGUUUACUGUUGUGUUUCACAUUACCUUUGAACUCUCCAGAACUUAUUUUAUAGGAUUUCCUGUGAGAAUUUUUAACUCUAAAUAAACAUGAUACGAGUCUCACUUCAGUAUUUCUGCAAAGCUUUUUUUGCUUGUCAGACUUUAUGUUAAGCAAACGUGACAAACAAUGGACGGAUAAAAGCUGCAGCAUGGCAGGCUCUGUGGAUGACAGCUCUGUGCAUUGCAGGGAACAUUUCACUGUUCACAGGAUCUGCUAGACAAAGUAUUACAGACAACUGUUUAUAUAAAUUCAUAAG